UACAGAGGUCUCAAGCGUUGUUCGGAUUCAUUGGGCGUAAAGGGUGCGUAGGCGGCGCGGUAAGUCAGGUGUGAAAUCUUGGAGCUUAACUCCGAAACUGCAUUCGAUACUGCCGUGCUUGAGGACUGGAGAGGAGACUGGAAUUUACGGUGUAGCGGUGAAAUGCGUAGAUAUCGUAAGGAAGACCAGUGGCGAAGGCGGGUCUCUGGACAGUUCCUGACGCUGAAGCACGAAGGCCAGGGGAGCAAACGGG
RNAcentral lists this ribosomal RNA (253 nucleotides) under uncultured bacterium. RNAcentral describes it as "partial 16S ribosomal RNA". It matches the Rfam family "Bacterial small subunit ribosomal RNA", at positions 524 to 776 of the family's 1533-position model. The record is from RNAcentral.